GCCCUCGUAGCUCAGUGGUUAGAGCACUGGUCUAGUAAACCAGGGGUCGAGAGUUCGAUUCUCU
This 64-nucleotide transfer RNA is filed under the name Echinostoma caproni. It matches the Rfam family "tRNA", at positions 1 to 62 of the family's 71-position model. From Rfam's summary of the family: Transfer RNA (tRNA) molecules are approximately 80 nucleotides in length. Their secondary structure includes four short double-helical elements and three loops (D, anti-codon, and T loops). Further hydrogen bonds mediate the characteristic L-shaped molecular structure. tRNAs have two regions of fundamental functional importance: the anti-codon, which is responsible for specific mRNA codon recognition, and the 3' end, to which the tRNAs corresponding amino acid is attached (by aminoacyl-tRNA synthetases). tRNAs cope with the degeneracy of the genetic code in two manners: having more than one tRNA (with a specific anti-codon) for a particular amino acid; and 'wobble' base-pairing, i.e. permitting non-standard base-pairing at the 3rd anti-codon position. The record is from Rfam by way of RNAcentral. Lineage: Eukaryota; Metazoa; Platyhelminthes; Trematoda; Plagiorchiida; Echinostomatidae.